This 496-nucleotide ribosomal RNA is filed under the name uncultured bacterium. Its description in RNAcentral is "partial 16S ribosomal RNA". It matches the Rfam family "Bacterial small subunit ribosomal RNA", at positions 28 to 507 of the family's 1533-position model. The record is from RNAcentral.
GAUGAACGCUGGCGGCGUGCCUAAUACAUGCAAGUCGAGCGAACAGACGAGGAGCUUGCUCCUCUGACGUUAGCGGCUGACGGGUGAGUAACACGUGGAUAACCUUCCUAUAAGACUUGGAUAACUUCGUGAAACCGGAGCUAAUACUGGCUAAUAUAUUGAACCGCAUGGUUCAAUAGUGCAAGACGGCUUUCCUGUCACUUUUAGAUGGAUCCGCGUCGCAUUAGCUAGUUGGUAAGGUAACGGCUUACCAAGGCAACGAUGCGUAGCCGACCUGAUGGGGGGAGCGGCCACACGGAAACGGAAACACGGCCCAAACACCUAGGGAGGGCAGCAGGGGGGAAUUUGGAGAAAUGGGGGAAAGCAGGACGGAGCAACGCGCGUGGGGGAAGAAGGGCUUCGGGUUGUAAAAACUCUUUUAUGGGGAAGAAAAGAAGGAGGAAAAAACUAAGAAGUUCUGGAGGUAACCAAAGAAGAAGCCCAGGCUAAAUUAGUG